CUACGGGUGGCUGCAGUGAGGAAUAUUGGUCAAUGGGCGCGAGCCUGAACCAGCCAUCCCGCGUGCAGGAUGACGGCCCUAUGGGUUGUAAACUGCUUUUCUAUGCCAAGAAACCCUGUUACGAGUAACAGGUUGCCGGUAGCAUAGGAAUAAGCAUCGGCUAACUCCGUGCCAGCAGCCGCGGUAAUACGGAGGAUGCAAGCGUUAUCCGGAUUCAUUGGGUUUAAAGGGUGCGCAGGUGGGCUUGUAAGUCAGUGGUGAAAUGCUGCCGCUUAACGGUAGAACUGCCAUUGAUACUGCGAGUCUAGAGUAUGGUUGAGGUAGGCGGAAUGUGUUGUGUAGCGGUGAGAUGCAUAGAUAUGACACAGAACGCCAAUUGCGAAGGCAGCUUACUAAGCCAUUACUGACGCUGAGGCACGAAAGCGUGGGGAGCGAACAGGAUUAGAUACCCUUGUAGUC
This 459-nucleotide ribosomal RNA is filed under the name uncultured bacterium. Its description in RNAcentral is "partial 16S ribosomal RNA". It matches the Rfam family "Bacterial small subunit ribosomal RNA", at positions 339 to 795 of the family's 1533-position model. The record is from RNAcentral.